AUUGAACGCUGGCGGCAGACCUAACACAUGCAAGUCGAGCGGAUGAAGGGAGCUUGCUCCUGGAUUCAGCGGCGGACGGGUGAGUAAUGCCUAGGAAUCUGCCUGGUAGUGGGGGAUAACGUCCGGAAACGGGCGCUAAUACCGCAUACGUCCUGAGGGAGAAAGUGGGGGAUCUUCGGACCUCACGCUAUCAGAUGAGCCUAGGUCGGAUUAGCUAGUUGGUGGGGUAAAGGCCUACCAAGGCGACGAUCCGUAACUGGUCUGAGAGGAUGAUCAGUCACACUGGAACUGAGACACGGUCCAGACUCCUACGGGAGGCAGCAGUGGGGAAUAUUGGACAAUGGGCGAAAGCCUGAUCCAGCCAUGCCGCGUGUGUGAAGAAGGUCUUCGGAUUGUAAAGCACGUUAAGUUGGGAGGAAGGGCAGUAAGUUAAUACCUUGCUGUUUUGACGUUACCAACAGAAUAAGCACCGGCUAACUUCGUG
RNAcentral lists this ribosomal RNA (484 nucleotides) under uncultured bacterium. RNAcentral's name for it is "partial 16S ribosomal RNA". It matches the Rfam family "Bacterial small subunit ribosomal RNA", at positions 30 to 507 of the family's 1533-position model. The record is from RNAcentral.